GUAUGGCAGGAGUGAUGCGUCAAUUGGAUGUGUGAAGUGUAUUGAUGAACUCAAGUUUGAGGUUUAUUGAUAUUCUGACCUGCCAAUU
This is a small nucleolar RNA of Elaeis guineensis (African oil palm), 88 nucleotides long. RefSeq annotates it as small nucleolar RNA Z266. The record is from RefSeq and is a predicted model, not a curated record. Lineage: Eukaryota; Viridiplantae; Streptophyta; Magnoliopsida; Arecales; Arecaceae.